UAGUCAUAUGCUUGUCUCAAAGAUUAAGCCAUGCAUGUCUAAGUACAAGCCUAACUAAGGUGAAACCGCGAAUGGCUCAUUAAAUCACACCUAAUCUACUGGAUAGUUAACAGUUACUUGGAUAACUGCGGUAAUUCUGGAGCUAAUACAUGCACAAAGCCCCGAACUUACGUGAGGGGCGCUUUUAUUAGAUCAAAACCAAACGGCUUCGGCUGUAUCCUUGGUGACUCUGAAUAACUUUGGGCUGAUCGCAUGGCCUAGCGCCGGCGACAUAUCCUUCGAAGGUGUGCCCUAUCAACUGUCGACUGUGGCAUAGACGCCCACAGUGGUUUUGACGGGUAACGGGGAAUCAGGGUUCGAUUCCGGAGAGGGAGCCUUAAAAACGGCUACCACAUCUAAGGAAGGCAGCAGGCACGCAAAUUACCCAAUGACCGAAGGUCGAGGUAGUGACAAAAAAUAACGAUACGGGACUCAUCUGAGGCCCCGUAAUCGGAAUGAGUACACUUUAAAACCGUCCCCGAGGAUCUAUU
RNAcentral lists this ribosomal RNA (530 nucleotides) under uncultured eukaryote. RNAcentral describes it as "SSU rRNA". It matches the Rfam family "Eukaryotic small subunit ribosomal RNA", at positions 21 to 549 of the family's 1831-position model. The record is from RNAcentral.